GCACAAGCGGUGGAGCAUGUGGUUUAAUUCGACGCAACGCGAAGAACCUUACCUGGGCUCGAAAUGUAGUGGACCGGGGUAGAAAUAUCCCUUCCCAGCAAUGGGCUGCUAUAUAGGUGCUGCAUGGCUGUCGUCAGCUCGUGUCGUGAGAUGUUGGGUUAAGUCCCGCAACGAGCGCAACCCUUAUUACCAGUUGCUACCAUUUAGUUGAGCACUCUGGUGAGACCGCCUCGGAUAACGGGGAGGAAGGCGGGGAUGACGUCAAGUCCUCAUGGCCUUUAUGUCCAGGGCUACACACGUGCUACAAUGGCCGGUACAAACCGUCGCAAACCCGUGAGGGGGAGCUAAUCGGAAAAAGCCGGCCUCAGUUCGGAUUGGAGUCUGCAACUCGACUCCAUGAAGCUGGAAUCGCUAGUAAUCGCAGAUCAGAACGCUGCGGUGAAUACGUUCCCGGGC
Molecule: ribosomal RNA, 456 nt
Filed under: uncultured bacterium
Lineage: Bacteria
Description: bacterial SSU rRNA
Rfam family: Bacterial small subunit ribosomal RNA
Source: RNAcentral